ACUACGGGUGGCAGCAGUGGGGAAUAUUGGGCAAUGGGCGAAAGCCUGACCCAGCAACGCCGCGUGAGGGAAGAAGGCUUUCGGGUUGUAAACCUCUUUUGGCAGGGAAGAGCAGAAGACGGUACCGGUCGAAUAGGCCACGGCUACCGACGUGCCAGCAGCCUAGGUAAUACGGAGGGCGGAAGAGUUUUCCGGAUUUGCUGGGUGUAAAGGCAGUGUAUCCGGGCUGACAAGUCAGUUGUGAAAUCCGGGGGCUUAACCCCCGAACUGCUUUUAAAACUGGUGGUCUUGAGUAUCGGAGAGGUAGGCGGAAUUCCUAGUGUAGCGGUGAAAUGCGUAGAUAUUAGGAGGAACACCAGUGGCGAAGGCGGCCUGCUGGACGACAACUGACGGUGAGGCGCGAAAGCGUGGGGAGCAAACAGGAUUAGAUACCCGAGUAGUC
RNAcentral lists this ribosomal RNA (442 nucleotides) under uncultured bacterium. RNAcentral's name for it is "partial 16S ribosomal RNA". It matches the Rfam family "Bacterial small subunit ribosomal RNA", at positions 338 to 795 of the family's 1533-position model. The record is from RNAcentral.